RNAcentral lists this long non-coding RNA (13753 nucleotides) under Cicer arietinum (chickpea). RNAcentral's name for it is "long non-coding RNA (CARI_LNC001060)". Lineage: Eukaryota; Viridiplantae; Streptophyta; Magnoliopsida; Fabales; Fabaceae. The record is from RNAcentral.
GCGCAGCCCCAUUUAUUCCAACAAGUUUGGCAAGUUCUUUGAGAUCACCCCAAAGAAAAGUUCUCAGCUACAGGACUUGGAUAUACUUGUGGACUAUGCUGAAAUUAACGAGGUUACAAAAUAAAUAUAUAUACAGAACUAUAAUUAGACAAUAAUUUAUAGUAUAUUCACUCGAUCACUUGCUUUUUAAAUUUUAGGGAGGUUUGAUGUUGCCACACUUCAAUUCGAGGGCCACAAUGGUAGUAGUGGUUAAUGAAGGAAAGGGAAACUUUGAACUUGUGGGUCUAAGAAAUGAGGAAGAAGAGAAAAGCAAACAAGUGCAGAGGUAUAGAGCUAACCUGUCUCCAGGUGAUGUCUUUGUCAUUCCAGCAGGUCAUCCAGUUGCUGUAAAUGCUUCCUCAAAUCUCUCUUUGCUUGGGUUUGGUAUCAAUGCUCAGAACAACCAGAGAAACUUCCUUGCAGGUAUGGAUAAUUAAAUUAAAUUAAAUGUACUAUAAAUGGACAUAAACUCAUCGGGCGAGAAAAGGCUCACUUAGGGUACAUUUUUUUGUUGAUUGAAAAUUUGAAGGUGAGGACGAUAAUGUGAUAAGCCAAAUAGAAAGGCCGGUGAAAGAGCUUGCAUUUCCUGGUUCUGCUCAAGAGGUUGAUAGACUAAUAAAGAAUCAAAGACAAUCUCACUUUGCAAAUGCUCAAUCACAAGGAAGCCAAAGAAGGAGUCCUCUAUCUUCAAUUUUGGACACUUUUUACUGAGUAAUCAAUCAACUGAAAUAAUAUGCAUGUAUGAUGUAAGAGUUAGUUAGCUCAUAGUGAGCACAGGAUGAAUAAGGAGGAUCUUGUAACUAUAACAACUUGAGUUCUGCUCUUAUGCUAUGAAUAAAUACAUUAAGAAUAAAUUGUGUCUUCUUAAUCAGCUCUGUUCUACUAUGUUCCUUUUUGUAGUGAAUAAUGCUCUAUGCUAGUUAUAUCAAAAGUGUUCAAAACAAUAACUUGAAAUAGUAAGAGUGGAGUUCAGUUAUAUUUAUAGUAAAUAAAAAAAUGAAUACAAAACAAAAUAAUAGAAUGUACCUUUUAAUUAAUGUUGCUCUAGUUAUAACUAUCGACAAAUAUCACCUGGUAUAGCCUAAGUGGUAAGUGUUGCAAAUUUCAGAGUAAGAAAUUUAAUUUUUAUUCAUAAAAAAACAAGAAGAAACACAUGACUAUAAUGACACAAUUCAAUAGAUUGUAUAAUACAGCCUAAAUAGAUAUACAAUUUAAUUAACAAAAAUGGACUUACCCAAAUGCAUAACAUUCUAGAAACUCUACGACUUUCAUAAUUCUGAAAUGAAAUUACCAUAUUUAUGUGUUUAAAAAAUCACUUUGUUACAUGUGUAGCUUGCUAUAAAAGUUAUUUCAAUAUAAUUUUAAUUACAACUUGCAUAAUUCUCAAAUUAUUAUUGUACAUUUAGCAUUUAUUAUAAUAAAAAUACAUUUUUUUUUCUAUUCGUAAUGAAUAUUGUGAGAUGGAGGCCUGUAGUCUUUUUUUUUGUUCUUUCAAUUAAGGUAUAGUUUUUUUUAUCUUUGAAUGAUUACUUCACAAAGAUUUAAUUUGUUUUAAUUGCUACAAAGACAUAUUUAUAUCAUAUUUUUUUCUUGAAAAAAGAGUAAAUAUUGUUAGAGAAUCAUUGUUGAGUUCAACAAUUCAAAAAUUAGAAAAAUAAAAUUUAAAAUAGUAAUGUGAAAAAUUAUUAUAAAAUUAAAUUAUAAUGUAAUUUUAUAUAGUGUAUCAUAAUUUUUUCAAUUUAGAAAGAACAAUACAAUUCAGACAAAGAAAAGUACAAUGUAAUUAAUGAAAGAAAAUUAUAAAAAAUAGAAUACAAACCGUAACAACAAAAUUCAUACGUGUAUGAUUGUUGUCGAAGUCUUAACCUACUUCGAAUUAAUUUGAAAACCUUUUGCUAUCUUUAAUAUCCUUACUCCAAUAUAAAACUAAUAAAGAAAUGUGCAUGAUUGUUGUCGAAGUCUUGACCUACUUUGGAUUAAUUUGAAAAUCUUUUGCUAUCUUUAAUAUCCUUACUCCAAUAUAAAACUAAGAAUCUUUAUUUUAGAACUUCAAAUGUCAAAUGUGGUCAAUAAAACUUAACCAUCAUAGAAUGAAAAUAGAAAAAGAAUAAAAAAUGAUACAUUUUUUUACUACCAUACAUAGAAACACAAAGAGAAAGCUAAUAAUGACUAACAAUAGAGAAAUUAUAGUGAAAUAUGGCAUUUAAAAAAAUGACUAAUGAAUAAUGAACAUGUUAAAGAACCGCAUCAUAAAUCACAAAUAUUUUUAAUUUUGAAUUUUUAAAUAUUAUAGUAUCAAGUUGAGAAAGGAUGAAAAAUAACAAAUUCAAAAUAGGUCAAGACUUCACCGAUAAUUAUGCAUGUAUGAAUUUUGUUGUUACAAUCCGUAAGAUUAGAUAUAGACAUUAAAUUACUAAAAAGUAAAUAAAAAUGCCAAUUUUUCUAUUAAUUAAACUUAGUUAUCGCAGUCAUUAAAAUAGGUCCCAAAAUAUAGCCACGAUUAAUUUUUGGUUAGCCACAUUUUUUUUUAUUGUGGUAAUGCCUUAUUAGCAACGUUUAUAUUUUUUAACCACAUUUAAAUCCUAGCUAUCUUAAUUUAAAAAAAUUCAAAAUUUGUCAAAACUUAUUUAUCAUAUAUUAAAACAUCCUCACAAAUCAUUCUAUUGUCAUCUAAUUAUAAAUUUUGAUAUAUAGUUUUAUUUUUAUCAAAUCAAUUAUAUGUUUAUAUGUCACUCUAAGUUUGCACUUGUAGACAAGUUUUAUUUAUAGCUCUACUGUAUACUUGCUCAUUCAUUCAAUAUUCAUUCUCCUUCAAUUUUAUAAUCAAUUCAUAUCAAUAAUUAUAAUACCACAUUUAUUUAGCGAUGACUCACCCAAAAUAUUUGUCCUUCCUCCUGCCCUAUUUUUCAUUUUUAAAUACUUUUGUUCUUUCUAAAUAUGGAAUAGUUCAUAGUUGAUUAUUAUUCUUCAACCCUUCUAUUUAUUAUUAUGUCUCAAAAGUUAGGAAAUGGUAUUGUGUGCACUCCUCUCUAGUGGUCUUCAUCAUCCUUUCAUCCACUGCAAUUACUAUCAUCAAUGAUUAGAACAUAUAUUAUUUUUCUUAUUAAAUAUUUGAUUUCUUAUUUGUUGAUUUCUUAUUUGAACAUAUUAAGUAUUGUGGCAUGGACAAGAUCAAUAUCAUAUAUACUAACCUCAGUUUUUUCCAUUUCGUUUUCUUUGCGAAUUUUAACCUGGUUUGUUUCUUUACAAUUUAAAUUGGCAAUACUUGAAGAGCUGAUAAACAAUAUUUAACAUGCUUUUGAAGGAUAGUGUUACUCUUCUCCCUUCUGUAUGCGUUUUAAAAGGAGAGCCGAUAAACUUGAAUGUGUUGUUUUAUGAAGUUGUGGCAACUUCUCUCAACUGCUCAUUGUCGUCGCUGUCGUCAUUCCAAACCAUAAAAGGAGUGAUAUAUCAUCUUGACAAUGAGGGUUUUCAAGAAGAGAAAAACAAAGAGAUUCAUUACAUCGCAUAUUUGAGGUUAGGAUUUCUGUUUAAUAAUUGGACUUCAAAAAUCAUGUUUCUCAUAGGAUUUCGAUAAAGACGUGAUUAGUUGAUUUUCAGUGCAGGAAAUUUGAAGAUUUUGAUGUGAUUAGUUGAUUUCUCAUAGAAUUACGUUAAAUUUUGUUUAGAAUGAUUUUAUUUUGCUUUAAAUUCAUAUGUUUGCUUCAAUUCCUUUUUCACUCUAGGACUCUUGUGAAUCUUAGUAUACUUUUGAUCUUUUUUUUUUUUUUUGUUAUUGUGAAUUUUAAGUCAUGGUAUUGGCACUACUAGCAAAACUGUUUUUAGCUGCUAUACUUAGCGUCGGCCAUGACUCUAACGCUAGUUAGCGUCGGUCAUGUGGACGCUAGUUCACGAAAUAUUUUUGUGUUUUCAUUAAAUAUUAGCGUCGGUUUGGCCGACGCUAAAUAAAACAUGGCAGACGGUUAUUUAUUUUUUAGUUUAAAUCAUCCAUCUAGCGUCGGACAGUCGGACGCUACAUUUUCUAAUUUGUAAAGUUAAUUAGUUUUUUCAGUAAAUUUAUUUUAUGUUUAGGGUUUGCUCCUACACUCUAAAAGUAUUUCAGUUUCCUCCUAAACUCUUAGCCCCAAAUUUGCUGAACUUUUCAUUUUCAUCUUCCCCAAAAUCUCAACCAACCUUCAAUCUCCAUCUCAGUUUUAUUUCCCCCAAUUGGCAUUCCAUCUCAGGUUCCUUAAAAUCGCGCCUUCAUUCAUCUAGAUGCGAAAAAACUCCAAAAUUACUCAUCUUGCGAAAAACCCCAGAUCCCUAAAAUCACUUGAAGCCUUACGUGAUCAAAAAACUUGAAUUUGAAAUCAAAUCCUUGCAUAUUGCUUUGCACCUUGCUGCCGAACGAGGAGGAGGAAGGAGGUGCCGUGUAACGUCGGUGGCGAAGAGUCUCCGGUGAAAACGAGGAGGUGGAGGAGGCGCGCUUCACAUGGACGACACAAUUCCUGGAAGCUCCGACGAGUUCCUGAAACGUGUUUCCUCCCGUGCUUAUGACAUGCGCAGGAAUCUUCAUCAGUCUUUUGAUUCUAGUAGCUACGACGGUAUCUCAUCUUUCGUUUCAAUUUUUGUUACUUGUGAUUCUGAAAGAUUAAUCGAAUUUGAAUUGUCUAUCAAUUUUUCAUAAGUUAAUGCUUACAAUUUGAAUUUAAGCAUAAAAGUUAGUUGAAGUUUCUGCAAUUGUCAUAUGAUUUGAAUUUUCCAUAUGCAAUUUUUUUUUCUUCUGCAAUUGUCAAUUGUUACAUUUUUCUCUAAGUUUUUUGUCUGGGUGUUUGAAUGCAUAUUAGUUUAUUGGCUUGUCUAUUUAUGUUAGGAAUAAUAUAUCGGUUAGGAAUUCCGUGAACAAGCCUUAAUCUCAUCCUAAUCUAUAAAUAUUAAAGUUGGGAGCCACAAGCUAAGUGAUUCUUUUCGCAUUACUAUUUCUAUUGAAAUCCACAUGAAAAUGCAGGAAAUUUUUUCUCUACUUCAAGAGAACGAAACUUUGCUGAAAUUGAAUAAGAAGCUGAAUCAAGAAAAGGAAACCUUGUUGAAGAACAAGGAUUUGACAGAUACUCAAAUUGGAAAGUUAACUAAAUCCUUGGAGGCAAUGCAGAAAGAUAUCAGAGACAAAGAGAAUCAGGUAGUUCAUUUUUAGUAUAAAUGAUUCUAUCAAACAACAUUUGUAUUUAUGAAAGUUGUGAUAUACCAAUUUUAACUUUCAGGUGCUAGUUUUAAAACAGUCCUUGGAACACCAAAGAAAAGAGCUCAAUGAUUGCAGAGCUGAGAUCACUUCACUGAAAAUGCAUAUUGAAGGGUCUCUCUCAGGAAAUAAUCUGUCUAUCAGGGAAGUUACUAAUGUUCAAUCUCAAUCUAUAGAGAAAUAUGAGGAAGAAAUUAAGAAAUUGAAGGUGGAAAUUGAAUUGCUGAAGGAAAAGAAUGUCAGAGCUCCUGAACUUGGAAGUUUUGUUGGUUUUGCAAUGGAAAAUUUAGAGAGAUGAUAAAGUGAUCGAGAUUCACGAAGACCGAGGUACAAUUUCAAAUCCUAUUGAUGUGGCGGUUGGUGUUGUAAGCAAUCAAGAUGCUUAAUCAUCAGUUGUCCAACCUCUGAAUAGAAUGCAAAUAACCAUGAAGAUACAUUGCCUAGAUUAUUUAAUCCUGCAAAUACAAAUAGUGCUUCGGAAAAUAUUUCUGAUUUGCAUUAUCUGUUAUGUAGCACUUUUGAAAAAUAUAAAGAUGAAAAAUCUCUCCCCUUUGCAUGGAAAAAAAAUAUGAAUAGUCAAGAUGGUUAAAUGUUAGCUGAAUAUAUGUGUCAUUGUCCAUGUCAAAUUUAACUGUGAUAUUUUGUUCUUAUGUAUGUUUAUAUUUUGACAGGGAUUAGGAACAAUUCAGAUACUUGCAGAUGCUUUGUCUAAAAUUGUUCCUUAUGUCUUGAUCAACCACGUGAGGUUUGCUUUUCUAUAAAUAGUUGAAUAAAUAGUUGAUUCAAUGAAGUUUGAUUUUAGUGUUUUAUUAUUUGGAUGUUUAGAUUCUUCACUAGUUGCAUCUAUCUCUGUUUGAUACAUGGCUGACACAAAUGUGUUUUAAUCUCUGUAAGCGUAGUAGUUUUUGUUCACUCUACCUCAAAUAUUGAUUAACUUGGCCAAUUUGAAAACAUGUUGCAGAUUAGCAUUGGCUUUUCAGGAUAAACAUGCUAUUUGGAAUGCAUAUACACUCUUUUUAUGUCUCACCAGGUAUAUAUAAUAUCAUUUACCUAUUUAACUUCACAAAAUAUGUUAUUUCGACACAAACACCAUAGUUAUAAAAAUCGUAUAAUAAAGAAGUGAAAGUGUUAUAGUCAAAUUUGUGUGUCAAAUUGUAUAACUAGAUAUUUUAGAAGCCUUAAUUGUGUCAAAUUUGAUGCUCUUCCUAAUCUGGAACAGUAAGUUGUAGCACUAGUUGUAUAAGACUAUUCAACUAUGAAUGAUAUUCCCAUUAAUUGAUCUAUUCAUUUUAUAAUUCAUUUAGUUAAUUAAGUUUAAAAAUGAGUUUGAUCUCCAUUUUGUUUAUAAUAAUUAAAUUAAAUGUUGGUUCUAAACGUUAGGUUCAUUUACUGCUCUUCUGCUGGUGUCUAUCUCAAAUCUGAUAUAUUACCUCAUGUUGAGGUUAGAUUACAUUUUUACUUUUCAAUAUUAUGGGUCUUGCCACGAUGCACUGAGACUUCUAAUCAUCCAUAUUCUUUUGUUUUACUAGAAAAUAUGUUCUAACCAUCCAUAUUAUUUUGUUAUACACAAAGUUGUUGUUGUUUAGAUAGUUAUUAUAUACACAUGUUGGUAGAUUGAUGCAGUUGACCCUAAGAGCAGACACAAGGGAAAGCUUGAAACAUAAAGCUUAUUGCAAUCAAAGGAUGUUCUUUGUUGUUUAGCUUGCAAUUGUUGAAGGUAGCGUCGGCCCGACCGACGCUGUAUUAUAAAUGUAUUAGUUGAUUGUAGCGUCGGUCUACCCAAGGCCGACGCACAAGAUUUUUUAAACUAACGUCGAAUGUUUUAUUUUGCUGGUAGCGUCGGCUUAGAGUGCGUUGGAUGGUAAUUGACCGAUGCUAUAAAUUAGCUUUGCCUGUUUUAGCCUAGGCCCGACACCGACGCUAGUCAGACGUUAAAUCAACGUUAGCGUCGACUUUUGGCUACGUUAAUAUCAGUUUUUCUAGUAGUGUAGGAAUCUAUUUUCUUUUGGUUAAGGGAACAAGCUUUUGUUGUUAUUGAUUAAUUAGAAGUAUCUAAUUAAUCACAUAAUCCUACUAUAUAAUAUAAUUGAAUUAAAUAUAGAGAAUCCUAUUGCAUCCUAAUGUAAUUAAGCAAUCAUCUAAAACUUAACUACUUUCAUUCAUUGGUUAUUGUAUAGUUUUUUGGAUCAUAAAAAAAUUGUUAGUUUAUAUGUUAUACGGAGGAUUUUUGUGAAAUAUUCUAACAUACUUGCUAAUAUGUGUCCAUUGCAUCAGUUGUUGCUUGCAAAUUAGCCAUGCUUCAUAAUUUUGUAUGUCAAACUAAGUAAAUAUUCACUACUUUCAUUUAUGUAUCAUAAAUUUUUUAAAAUCAAAUAGUUGAAUUUAACUUCAAAUAUGAAAGGGGAUAAUAUAAAAAUUAUUAUACUUUGACUUGGAUUUAUGUCUUAAGAAAGUAGGAUAUCACUUGUUACAUAUGUGAUAUGUUUCUUUGUUUUUUAUGAGAGCACAUGUGAAAUUUUAUAUAUUGAAUGAUUGUUCUUAUGUUCUUUUGUUGCACAAAUGAUAUUAUGAUCGGGUGGCUCUCAUUGGUUGAUAUUAUGAUUGGGUGGCUCUCAUUAAUUGUCCACUUUUUAUUAGUUAAAAGUAACGUCGGUGAAGCCGACGCUACUAAUUUUGUUGAUUUUGAUUUUAGCGUCGGCCGCUGCGACGCAAAGGAAUUUUUCAGAUGAUAUAUAAUUUAGCAUCGAGUGUUCUAUUUUGCUAGUAGCAUCGGCUUUGAGUAGAUCAAGCCGACGCUAUAGUAGCGUCGGCUUCGAGUAGAUCUAACCGACGCUAUAGUAGCGUCAGAUGGUAUUUGGCUGACGCCACAUAUUAGCUUCGAUCGUUUUAGUCUAGUUCCGACACCGACGCUAAGUGGACGCUAAAUCAGAGUUAGCGUCUGCUUUUAGCCUAUUAGCAUGGGCUUUUGACCGACGCUAAAAUCAGAUUUUCUAGUGGUAUUAUCUAGAUUUCUUUUCUUUUCUCUUUAUCUAGAUUAAAACAUUUAUUGUUACAUGGAGAUUAGGAAUUUGGUGUUUUUAGUUCUAAUAUAUUAUCUAUAACAUAAUUAAAAAUAUAAUCGUCCAAUCUUCAAUUUACGUCUAAGAAUUACACUAAGCUAGUAAAAAAGAUUGACCUCAUUUAAUUCAUUAUAUAAACUACUUUUUUCAAUUUAAUAGAUCGGUAAUAUUUUGUAUUUUAUAAAUUUCAUUGAAUUAAUUGAAUAUUUAUAAAGUUUUUUUUUUUACCUUCUUUAUUUUUCUCGAUAUUAUAGUUUUGAAUUUGAAGAACUAAAGAUAAUGUCAUUAGUUGUAAGAUUUGAAUUUGUUUAAGUUUAUUGUACAAAAAUAUUUCUAACUUCUUUUAAAUACUAAUUUACACUAAAAUGGUUAAUUGUAUACUAAAGUGUAAUCAAAUUCUUUUAAAUAUCAUUAAACACUAAAAUAAUUAAUUUGUAUGUGGUAUAAUUCAUACAAAAUGAUAAAUAUUUUAUUUUUACUAACAAUGGUCUUAUAUUAAUAUUAUAUCAUAUUAAAAUACAUUCUUUUAAAAUUGAAUAUUGUUACUACCUUAUUAUGUGUCAAUUACUUGAUUUUCCAAGAGUAUAUUUGUAGGAAGGAAUUGAAACUUCUAGAGGAUUAAAAGUUUUAAGCAAUUCAAAAUGUUUCAAUUGCAUUUUCUUCAUUAAUAAAUUGUGUUGUUUGGAUAGAACCAUUGUUUAUUUAAAUUUUGUCAUAUUUAUAAAUUUAAAAAGUGUUUGGGCAAAAAUAAAAAUUGAAAAAGGUAAUUUUUUUUGAAAUUUUGUAGGGAUAUAUUUGAGAUUCACAUUGUAUGAAGUUAAAAAGAAAUUUCAAAUUCUUACCUUUAAGAUAGUAUUUUAAAUUCUUUCAAUUUGUUUUUGAUAAAAUCUUUUUAUUUUAAAAAUUCAUCGAAUUUAUCAUCCAAAAAUAACAUUUAUAUAAAAGAAUUUGAAUUACGAUACAAAACACACUCUAAAAUUAUUUUUUAUAUACUUAAUUUCAAAUAUUUUGUAAAAAUAAUUUGUAAAGUUAUAUGUUUACGGCUGAUUCUUGUUAAAUGACAAUUCUUUUUUGUUAAAAAAAAGGUGUGUGCCUCAACUAAAUGAAAGCACCUUCGUAAUAUUUUGCAAUUAGUUUCACCCGUGAUAGCAAAGUAUUUCAUUAUGCGCGUUUACGUCUAUAUUUCUACAUUCUAUUUGAAUUCAGGAAGUUCCAAAGUCCUAUGUAGGUUUGGUAUGAUGCAUCUUGUCUUCACGAACAUUAAUGGGACAACCAUGCGCAUUAAGAAAAUUGUAUGCAAUAUCUGCACCCUUCAUGGAUGAAUCAUUAAUGGGACAACCACAUGAAGAAAAUAAAUUAUGUAAAAUGUGUUGUUUCUUCGAAUCAACUAUGGUAUCGAGGCUAUUCUGGAUAUCGAAGGGACAUAAUGAAAGAGAGAGUAGUGGCUUCGAAAUGCGUCGAACAGAGGAGGAAUAAAUAAGAUUGACCUAAGGCACAUAGAAGCCUAAGGCGAAUUAAAAUAUGAAACCUUUUAAAACUUAUAAUAGUAUUUUAGUAAAAUUAAUUAAAAAUAUUAUGAAAAACUAUUUGUAGGACAUUUUAAAAUUAAAAAAAAAAACAUUUAUUGAAUUAAUAUAAUGUACUACAUUACCGAAGCCCUAGUCAAAAUUUUCUGCUUAAAAUCUAUAUCCCAGACAGAUUUUUCUGCUGUUGGUGCAUGUUGGGCCAUUCCUAAAUUAUGAGAUGUUCAUCCUACACUUUGUUAAGGACAUAAGUCAAACAUACGAAACCAAACUCUACAUAGAAGAGUGGAUAAGUUUGAGAGAGAAAGUCUUGAGUUCCUCUGAAAAUUUCAGAGUGGUCAAAUUAGAAAAAUACAAAUAUGGUAGAUGUAAUUUUUGAAACUUCAUGGGGUGCAAGUGCACACUCUCUCACCGCUAUCUAGGCCUGCCCUAAAGUUAACACAUUUUGAUGUUUCUGCUUUACACAGUUACUUUUGUUAAUUCAAUUGGUUUUUGAUUGUAUCUAUAUUGUUAGAUCUAUACUAAUCUAAUCAUUUAUCUUAUAUUUUGUAAUAACUAUGUUAGUUUCUGUGUGUAAUUUGUAAGUGGACUUGUGCAAUUGUAGAUGAUUUUGUCUUUAGUUUGAAUAAGAUGUAGGAGAAAAGGGAUAGUACAAAUGAGUCUUCAAGUAUCUUCUUUUUUUAACACAACAGUCAUUUAUCUAGUGACUUCAAUUCAAGUAGUUCAAGGCAGUGGAAAUUAGCCAUGCCAAAUAUAAGCAUUUUUAAAAAUGACAUUAUUGAUCCCAAAAAAAAGACAUUAUUAUGAUCAAAAACACUGAAAUUCAUUAUUCUAGAGUGUAAAAUAUGAAGUUGUUGGCCAAAUAAAAUGAGAUGAUUUCAAGGAACGUAAAACUCACUAAGUGCAGCCUAAUGUUGGAUGUAACAAAACUUCUGCAACUUUACAUAUAACUUAGAAAACAUGGCAAUCUUUAAGCCUAAUGGGAAUGUUCAAAUUAAGUAUUGCUUAUAAAAUCUGAAGAAAUACAGAGGAUGUAUCAAAUCCGGAUGCAGAGAAAAUAUGAUAUCGUAUAAGCUCAAAGCAAGUUAUCAUAAUAAGAUUGAAUUGAAUUGUAUCAAAAACAAGAAACGAAUCGUCUAAAAACAUCGUUGUGUCGAAUGUCAAGUAUUUAUUGUUGUAGUCAGAAAUCAUCGAAAACUAUUCUCUUAUGUUUUUGUUUCACAUAGAAAGUUUACAGAUGUCAUUAAUGACUUAACAAUACAAUUCAAUACACAUCAUCAAUUUCUAUGCAAUUUAAUACAUAUUGUGGUUUAUGGACUAAACUGUUGCGGUUUAUUUCUUUUUCAUAAACUAAAAAUGAUCUUUUUUCGUCAGAUAUUAAUAUGUCUCAUACUCCAAAAGUAUCAUUUCAAAAAUAAUGUCUAGGUUCAUCAAUUUCAUGAUAUUCAAACAAAACUUGACUACUAGUUCAAGAGAUCAAGAUCGCCGCAUCCAUAUGCAUCCAAAAUGUUGGGACCCCAAAGACCAUGCGGUACAACACGUACAUAGCAGUCUUAUUUUUUUCUUUUGCCACCUCAAUUUUGUUCAUUUCAACAUUCGUCAAUUUGCAUGGCACCCUGUGGCCAAAUGUAUAUGUACAUUACUCAUAUAGCUUUUAUGUUCUAUAACUAUAAAUAUCCCUCAUCUCAUUCCAUAACUCAUCCUAAAAAUUGAGCUAGUGAACUACAAGUGAUGGCUACCACAACCAAAACACGAUUUCCACUUUUGUUAUUGCUUGGAAUUAUAUUCCUAGCCUCAGUUUGUGUCUCUUAUGGCAUUGUCCAAUAUGAACAGGGGAACCCCUGUCUUAAGAAGUGCAUGCAGCGAUACAACAAAGUGAAUGAAGCAUUUAAACGCCGUGAGGAGGAAGAAUAUGAAGAACGUUCAGAACAUAGUGUACCUGGACAAAGAGAACGAGGUCGCCAAGAGGGUGAGAAGGAGGAAGAGCAUCGGGAACAACGGAGAUCUCGACGUGAAAGUGAAAGGGAAAGGGAAGAAGAUGAGCAAAAACAGCGUCAUCCUCACCAUGAAAGAGAGGAAGAGGAGGACGAAGAGUUUAGAGAACGGCGUCAUCGUGGAGAUACAGAAGAGACGAGGUUCAGGCGAAGAAAGGAGAGGAGGCAAGAGCAACAAGAAAAAAAGAGUGAGAGUAAAGAAGAUGAAGAAGAAAGUUCUUCAGAGUCACAAGGACGGAGGAACCCCUUUUUCUUUAGGUCUAACAAAUUCCAAACUAUAUUCGAGAACCAACACGGUCACAUUCGUCUUCUUCAAAAUUUCGACAAACGUUCUAACUUAUUUCAAAAUCUUCAAAACUACCGCUUUUUGGAGUAUAAGGCCAGACCUCACACACUUCUACUCCCCCAACACAUAGAUGCUGACUUCAUCCUUGUAGUUCUUAGCGGUAAUUAUACUAUAAAAAAAUCAACUAGUAGAAGUGUAAUUUUUCUUUCAUUUUACAUAAAACAAUCAAAUUGUUGAUUACUGAAUAUUGCAGGGAAAGCCAUACUUACUGUGUUGAACCCCAACGACAGAAACUCGUUCAACCUUGAACGUGGCGAUACUAUCAAACUCCCUGCAGGCACCACUGCUUAUUUAGCUAACCAUGACGAUGAGGAGGAUCUGAGAGUAGUAGAACUCGCCAUACCUGUUAACAGACCUGGUAAAUUUCAGGUAAUAUAUAUAACUCUAACAUAACACUUUUUCCACUCUCUUCACCAUUACAAUUUCCACCACUCACUAAUGUUAUUUCCUGCAGUCUUUCUUCCCAUCUAGCAAUCAAAACCAACAAUCCUACUUCAAUGGGUUCAGCAAGAGUAUUCUAGAGGCAUCCUUCAAUGUAAGCAUCCUAGCAACAUGUGUGUGUAAAUUGUCGUUAAUUAUUUUAUAUGUAAUAGUUGUAAUUUGUGUCCUUGUUUAUAUGGUUGAAAAAAUAGACAAAAUAUGAGACCAUAGAGAGGGUUCUCUUAGAAGAGCAAGAGCCAGAACAAAGCAGAGGACGUAGGGGAAGUGAAGAAAGCGAAGAAGGAGAUGCAAUUGUUAAAGUGUCAAGGGAACAAAUUGAGGAACUAAGUAAACAUGCCAAAUCAAGCUCAAGGAAAAGCAUAUCCUCAGAAUCGGAACCAUUUAACUUGAGAAGUCGAAACCCCAUUUAUUCCAACAAAUUUGGCAAAUUCUUUGAGAUUACUCCAGAGAAAAGCCCACAACUUCAAGACUUGAAUAUAUUUGUCAGUUGCGUGGAGAUUAAUGAGGUACUCAAACAAACAUAUUAACACAACUAAAUUGGACAAUAAAUUUUAUUUGUCCACAUUCUUCUUAAUUAGAUUAUUACCAAAAAUAUGUUAUUAAACUUUUGUCCAAAAUUUUAGGGAGGUUUGAUGUUGCCACACUUCAAUUCAAGGGCCAUAGUUGUUCUAUUUAUUAAUGAAGGAAAAGGACACCUUGAACUUGUUGGUCUAAGAAAUGAGCAACAAGAACAACAACAAGAGGAAGACGAGGAGCAAGAAGAAGAAGAGAGAAACAACCAAGUGCAGAGGUUUAGAGCCAGGUUGUCUCCAGGUGAUGUUUUCAUCAUUCCAGCAGGUCAUCCAGUUGCUGUAAAUGCUUCCUCAGAUCUCAACUUUGUAGGGUUUGGUAUCAAUGCUGAGAACAAUCAGAGAAACUUCCUUGCAGGUAUAGAUAAAAAAUUUGAAUUGAAUAUACUAUGUAUUAUUUUACUUAAUGACAUGAACAUUAAUAUAAUUUUAUUUGGUGAUUGAACAUUUGAAGGUGAGGACGACAAUGUGAUAAGUCAAAUACAAAAUCCAGUUAAAGAACUUACAUUCCCUGGAUCUGCUCAAGAAGUUAAUAGGCUAAUUAAGAAUCAGAGACAAUCUUAC